GAUGGACGCUGGCGGCGUGCUUAACACAUGCAAGUCGAACGGAAAGGCUCCUGCUUGCAGGGGUACUCGAGUGGCGAACGGGUGAGUAACACGUGGGUGAUCUGCCCUGCACUUCGGGAUAAGCCUGGGAAACUGGGUCUAAUACCGGAUAGGACGAUGGUUUGGAUGCCAUUGUGGAAAGUUUUUCGGUGUGGGAUGAGCUCGCGGCCUAUCAGCUUGUUGGUGGGGUAAUGGCCUACCAAGGCGUCGACGGGUAGCCGGCCUGAGAGGGUGUACGGCCACAUUGGGACUGAGAUACGGCCCAGACUCCUACGGGAGGCAGCAGGGGGGAAUAUUGCACAAUGGGCGCAAGCCUGAUGCAGCGACGCCGCGUGGGGGAUGACGGCCUUCGGGUUGUAAACUCCUUUCGCUAGGGACGAAGCGCAAGUGACGGUACCUGGAGAAGAAGCACCGGCUAACUACGUG
RNAcentral lists this ribosomal RNA (465 nucleotides) under uncultured bacterium. RNAcentral's name for it is "partial 16S ribosomal RNA". It matches the Rfam family "Bacterial small subunit ribosomal RNA", at positions 28 to 507 of the family's 1533-position model. The record is from RNAcentral.